UGAGCUGUACUGCAGAUACAUCUUCUGCAAACAAAGGCUUCAUUUUCAAAUGCAUCCCACACCAGAGCAGAGCAGAUUUUAAAAACAAAAUUCAUUGCCAGUGCUCCAUACUACACCAAAGAAUCCAUCCCCCAUCUCCGAAUUUCCUAUGUGUUGUGAUUUAUUCCCAGAUGGCCUUUUUGGUACAACUGCUCAGGAAACUUUGGAAAACACAAAAUUUUCAAGAGCUCAAGCAACUGCAAAAAAAGAGGGCUGUGAUGGACCUGCUGAAUGUGAAGUCAGGGAGAGAAAGGAGCUCCCUGGGAGCCUGGGGAGAGGACAGAGAGAUGCGUCUCUGCUGGACUGGAACAAGCUGGACCAUCUUUCUACAAGAGAUUUGAAAACUGAGUUUAGGCAGCUACAUUCGGCUAUUCUUCGUCAUUACAUUAAACCAAAAAGCAUCCG
This is a long non-coding RNA of Vidua macroura (Pin-tailed whydah), 444 nucleotides long. RefSeq lists it as uncharacterized. NCBI's taxonomy places the organism in Eukaryota, Metazoa, Chordata, Aves, Passeriformes, Viduidae. The record is from RefSeq and is a predicted model, not a curated record. The transcript has 2 exons.